Physella acuta is the source of this 1608-nucleotide RNA transcript. RefSeq lists it as uncharacterized. NCBI's taxonomy places the organism in Eukaryota, Metazoa, Mollusca, Gastropoda, Physidae. The record is from RefSeq and is a predicted model, not a curated record.
CGAUCAAUACAAGGAUACUGUUUCAUUUCAAUCGUCCUGAUGAUAACGCGAAAUGAUACUAGAUAAACUGAACUUAUUUUGUUUGUAAUCAUGACGGGUAUGGCAGCUAUGUUGUGUUUGACAAGUACCGUACAAGUACACUAACAAGUACAAAAUGUGUACUUUGAAGCCUUGCUGUUAUGGUUCUGUUGCUCUACUUAACUCUACUGUAACAAUCUACAAAUGCAAGAACUUCUAGAAUGUGUAUAGCCUUAGUUGUCUCUGGUUACGCCCUUUUCGUGAAUUCCUAAAGGUUUUAAAGCUUUCAUACAGCUGUUGCACGUCUUGUCAAAUUUGAAUGUUCUACAUUUUUCGUCACGUCUGUUUUCCUUUUACACCAUAUAAGCAAGAUUACCUUUGAUGAUUUAUAUGUUUGCAAGUUUUAAAGUAAAUAAAGGUUAAUCAAACGGAGAACAAUACAAACAUCGUAUGCACAUACUUCAAUAUCCAUAAUGAAUAAAUACGAAUACUUGCCACUAAAACAACCCAACACCAGUGGACAUGAAUCAGUUGAUGGACCAAGUAAACGACAAAAUAGAUAAGGUGGUGAAGCAAGAAGAAAAAGAAACUAUUUUAGUUCUUAUUGGUAAAACUGGGCAUGGUAAAAGUUCUCUCGGCAAUACUUUACUAAGACGAGAUGUAUUUGAAGUGUCUGAUUUUAGUACAUCUGUUACCAAAUUUGCGAUCAAUCAUCGCGACGACAAUCUGGUAGUUUUUGAUGGAACUGAGAAUAAUCCAAAAAGUAUGGAAUUCAACAUUACACUACAACAGCUUACUAUGAUAUUAAAAGGUUGUAAAAAGGGUGUGACUGCUUUUGUAUUGGUCUUUGCGAUAUCUACAAGGUUUUCAAAAGAAGAAAUUCAUACCAUAGAAAUGUAUAAAAAUAUUUUAGGCGAAGACUUUUUAAAAACAAACGGUGUUUUUGUUCUAACUCACGGCGAAAAUUUUGAUUGCAAAUAUACUUUUAUGGAAUGGUGCGACAAACAGAAAGGCCCUUUUGAGGAUAUUUACAAUGAGUGUAAUAAAAGAGUGGUGCUCGUAGAGAAUAAAGCUACAGAUUCUAAAAUGUUGGAAUAUCGCGACCAAGUUUUAGGACUUACAAAGAAUCUGACUGAGCCGUAUACAAUGAACAAUUUUAAUCGAAAUAAAAGGAGCCGUAAAAAGCCUGUUUUAAAUGGGAAGUUGAUGAUUUGAAGCGUAAAUAUAAUAAAAAAAUUACACAUCUUCAAAACAAAAUUAAUAAAAAAGGAAAAUUAACUAAAGAAUUAAAAAUGCAAAUAACUUUACUUGUUAAUGAAAUAACUGAAAGCAAUAAUGAAGACGAAAAAUACAACCUUAACUUGGAACUUGAAGCUGCAGAAAAAUUGUUUGUUACAUCUUGCUGCAUUCUAUAAAAUAAGAAACUAAAAAUAUGUUAAAUUUGUGAGUUGUUUCCAGACAAUUAAUAUGAUCUAAAACAUAACAACACGUAUUUUGUUUCUAGAACAGGUGGCUAUAUUAGUUUUACAAAAAUCUUAGUAAUACAGUUGUAAAACAUUUUUAAAGAAAUUAUUGAUAACGUUUGAGUUA